AGAGCGAACGCUGGCGGCAGGCCUAACACAUGCAAGUCGAACGAACCCUUCGGGGUUAGUGGCAGACGGGUGAGUAACACGUGGGAACGUGCCUUUUGGUUCGGAACAACUCAGGGAAACUUGAGCUAAUACCGGAUAAGCCCCUAGGGGGAAAGAUUUAUCGCCAUUAGAGCGGCCCGCGUCUGAUUAGCUAGUUGGUGAGGUAAAGGCUCACCAAGGCUUCGAUCAGUAGCUGGUCUGAGAGGAUGAUCAGCCACACUGGGACUGAGACACGGCCCAGACUCCUACGGGAGGCAGCAGUGGGGAAUCUUGCGCAAUGGGCGAAAGCCUGACGCAGCCAUGCCGCGUGAAUGAUGAAGGUCUUAGGAUUGUAAAAUUCUUUCACCGGGGACGAUAAUGACGGUACCGGAGAAGAAGCCCGGCUAACUUCGUGCCAGCAGCCGC
Molecule: ribosomal RNA, 444 nt
Filed under: uncultured bacterium
Lineage: Bacteria
Description: SSU rRNA
Rfam family: Bacterial small subunit ribosomal RNA
Source: RNAcentral